Molecule: ribosomal RNA, 274 nt
Filed under: uncultured bacterium
Lineage: Bacteria
Description: partial 16S ribosomal RNA
Rfam family: Bacterial small subunit ribosomal RNA
Source: RNAcentral
AUACGGAGGGGGCUAGCGUUGUUCGGAAUUACUGGGCGUAAAGGGCACGUAGGCGGGUUCCUAAGUCGGGGGUGAAAUCCCUGGGCUCAACCCCGGAACUGCCCUCGAUACUGGGAGUCUCGAGGACGGGAGAGGCGAGUGGAAUUCCGAGUGUAGAGGUGAAAUUCGUAGAUAUUCGGAGGAACACCAGUGGCGAAGGCGGCUCGCUGGCCCGAUCCUGACGCUGAGGUGCGAAAGCGUGGGGAGCAAACAGGAUUAGAAACCCUAGUAGUCC